Molecule: long non-coding RNA, 379 nt
Filed under: Physcomitrium patens
Lineage: Eukaryota; Viridiplantae; Streptophyta; Bryopsida; Funariales; Funariaceae
Description: long non-coding RNA (PPAT_LNC005991)
Source: RNAcentral
AUAAUUCAUACAAUAGAUAUACUAUAUGAACAUAGUGAAGAAUCUAAAUAUGAUAAAAUAUACAUACACUGAAAAAUCUAUGUAUUUGUAAUAAAGAACUAAAUUCUUUUUUUAUUCGUUCAAUUGUAUCAAUUUUAUUUGGAUUUUAUUUUCUUCCAUAAAAUCUACAUAAAUAUCCAAUAAUUACAACCUCUUAUAUUCCAAAUAUAGAUUUUAUACUUCAUAAUGUACGAUGAACUUUUUCAUGCCAAAUUAAUAUUUUUUUAUAAUCUUAUAUAUGAUCAAGAACCUACUUGCCACACCUCGUCUUAUCUAAAGUUCCAUCCUUGUCUUCUUCUUUGUAUCUCUUAAUAAGAAAAUCAUCUAAAAAAGGCAUAGU